CCUACGGGAGGCAGCAGUGAGGAAUAUUGGUCAAUGGACGAAAGUCUGAACCAGCCAAGUAGCGUGAAGGAUGACUGCCCUAUGGGUUGUAAACUGCUUUUAUAUGGGAAUAACAUGUUCUACGUGUGGGACUUUGUAUGUACCAUAUGAAUAAGGAUCGGCUAAUUCCGUGCCAGCAGCCGCGGUAAUACGGAGGAUCCGGGCGUUAUCCGGAUUUAUUGGGUUUAAAGGGAGCGUAGGUGGAGUGUCAAGCGAGUUGUGAAAGGUUGCGGCUCAACCGUAAAAUUGCAGUUGAAACUGGCAGUCUUGAGUACAGUAGAGGUGGGCGGAAUUCGUGGUGUAGCGGUGAAAUGCUUAGAUAUGACGAAGAACUCCGAUUGCGAAGGCAGCUCGCUGGACUGCAACUGACACUGAGGCUCGAAAGCGUGGGUAUCAAACAGGAUUAGAUACCCGAGUAGUC
Molecule: ribosomal RNA, 460 nt
Filed under: uncultured bacterium
Lineage: Bacteria
Description: partial 16S ribosomal RNA
Rfam family: Bacterial small subunit ribosomal RNA
Source: RNAcentral